GGGGGCGGGGGCGGGGACGGCCUCAGAAGGGCCUAGACCGGGAGAGGUAAACUGAGACCUGCGGGUGACGUCUAGUGGUUGGGACCAGAAAGCAGCUAGACCACAGCCCCGUGGGACCCAGCAGCCGCUCCCGCAACUCGGUCCCGCCUCCUGGCAGCGCCUUUCCGGUUACACACCGGCGAGCCGAGCGCACGCACCGCGAGGCAUCUACGGGUCCCACCGCGGCCCACUCCGAGCGUGGCAGAACUACACGCGCGCGUGGAGCAUGCGUACUACCCGCGGUGGAGGCUGCACGCCGCCCGAGCCCGAGGUUUGGCCGGGAUGGGGGUGGGCCCUCUGCUGCCGCGCCCUUCCCAGCCAGCCAGGUGUGAAGUCUCCUCUUUACUGGGUCUGCCUUCCUCUUCCUCACAUCCUGACCCCCUUCAUAGCAUCCGCUCUGGAUAAGUUAACCCACAUUCCCACCGCCCUGACUGCCCUUUGACUUUUCAAUAGAUGGCUUAUUCAUGGGUUUCCCAACCCUCCCCACCGCCAGUAUAUUAGGUUAGUUCUGCCACUUUGCCUUUUCGGUAAAACCACUGAAUCCCAUGCUGCCCUGAGCACCUAGCAUAACCAUGCACAGGAAAGAAGUCCCAUUCCCAAGUUUCUUAAGUCUUGUAGUAGAACUCAACAGCCCAAAGCACCCACCUCGUUUCAUUUUCAUCAAGCAGCCAGUGAUGCUUUGGGGGGCAGGAUUUGGGGGGGGGUUCUGUUUACUCUUCCCUCCCUAGGCUGAAAAGACCCCAAAGACACAGCCAAAGACCCCAGUCUGUGCACAAAAAUGAUACAUUUAUUGAAAGAGUAAUUUUUUUUAAUACAAAAGAAAGCUCUGUACAUAGGACUGUGACCAUGUCCACUAUUCCUGGGUCGGCAUCCCAGGGGAAGUAGAAACCAUUGACACACAACAUUCAUGAACAUACACUCACUCAGGCACAAGUGCACACACAUACACACACGCACACACUCCAGAGCCACCAAGGAAGGGAAACACCAAGGGUCGCUGCACAUAGAUAUGCCACCUCAUCCCUGACACCCAUGUUCUGACACGCAUGUUCUCCCACAGCCACGAUCACACAACACACAUAAGCAUUUUGCCUGAAUCACACACUGGGUCUGUCUGUUGUGAGGAGGAAUUUAUCAACAUCUCCUCCCAGGUGCAGGGGCAGUGGGGAGUGAGUGAGUGGUGAGGAGUGAGCAGAGAAAGGGGCUGGGCAGUUACAGACCUGAGUCCCAAGUGCCCCCACUCUGGCCCCUGACUGACCAUGCCCCAGCCUUGAAAGCCACUCAAAAGCCCAGAAGAAAGCCCCAUAAACGUGACUUUCAUCUUGGCACCCCGAGCUGGGGCAAAACAGUAAUGGGGAUUAGAGGUUGGGGGGGUUCUCAAACAGGUCAACAGAUCAUCCAUCCCCUUGAUACCUAGGCUGUGCGUAAAAUCCCCACCCCCACCCCUCACCUAAUCACAGAAGCAGACUUGUUCCUACUGAAGGCAGCACCAAGGGGUUAAUGAAACGCCACCCCAACUGCCUUUCUGUAAAAGCUUCCUUACAGGAUAUAGGUGGUGAAGGUCGGCUCUGACACAGGGUAAAAGACCCUCCCCUAUGCUGACCCACCCUCAAGGUCUACCCCAAGGGGGCAUUAAGGGGGUGGGGCAUGGCCCCUGUACAAAUUACAUAAAUACUGAGGUUACACUUAGAAAAAUAAAUUCAUUUUCUUCAAGGCUUUUUGUCUUAAUUUAAAAAAGUUACAGUAGCUGCUCACUCCCUGGGAGAGCUGCCCAUUUCUGGCUCCCCAUUGCUGCACUCAGCCAAAGAGCUGCUCCUACUUCCAACCCCGAUUCCUGCGUCUCCCCACCUCCCAGACCCCACCCUGCUCACUGCAACUUGGGCCCCAGGCAGCUGCAGGCCUGGGGGAGCACAAGGCUGCAAUGCCCAUGCAUGUGGCACAAAUGAAAUCAGUUGCCUCUACCUGACACCCUCCCACCCCACCCCAUUUGGUCUCCCUCUUCCCUCUUCCUAGCAACAGCCCUAGAGGGCAAAAGAGACCCAGAGCUGUGGGUUAUCCUCCCCACCACAUUGGGGCAUGGCCUGAGGGUCCCUUCCCCCGGCUUUCUCCUGGAAACAACCCAGGACCGGGCAAUCCCAGAAUCUCCCCCCCCACACUGGUGGACCCCGAGCUCAUGGGGUGGCUCUGUCCCCAGGGGCCCAGCCAGUUCUGGGGAGCCCAAGGGCUCCCCAGGGAAGGGGAGUUUGGGCAGGGAG
Molecule: long non-coding RNA, 2294 nt
Organism: Nannospalax galili (Upper Galilee mountains blind mole rat)
Lineage: Eukaryota; Metazoa; Chordata; Mammalia; Rodentia; Spalacidae
Exons: 2
Source: RefSeq, a predicted model, not a curated record